AGAGUUUGAUCCUGGCUCAGAAUGAACGCUGGCGGCAUGGAUUAGGCAUGCAAGUCGAACGUGAAGCUUUCUUCGGAAAGUGGAAAGUGGCGAAAGGGUGAGUAACACGUGAGUAACCUGCCCCCGAGAUCGGGAUAGCCCGUGGAAACGCGGAUUAAUACCGAAUGUGGAUUGCGCCUGCAUAGGUGCUCUUCCAAAGGUCCGCCGCUCGGGGAUGGGCUCGCGGCCCAUUAGCUUGUUGGUGAGGUAACGGCCCACCAAGGCUAUGACGGGUAGCUGGUCUGAGAGGAUGGUCAGCCACACUGGGACUGAGACACUGCCCAGACUCCUACGGGAGGCUGCAGUCGAGAAUCAUCCGCAAUGGGCGCAAGCCUGACGGUGCGAUGCCGCGUGAGGGAUGACGGCCUUAGGGUUGUAAACCUCUGUCAGAGGGGACGAAUCAUUGACGGUACCCUCAGAGGAAGCCACGGCUAACUACGUGCCAGCAGCCGCGGUAAUACGUAGGUGGCGAGCGUUAUUCGGAUUUACUGGGCGUAAAGGGUCCGCAGGGGGUUUGCCAAGUCUGGUGUGAAAGCCCGCGGCUCAACCGCGGAACUGCACUGGAAACUGGUGAACUUGAGUCUGCGAGGGGUGAGCGGAAUUCCUGGUGUAGCGGUGGAAUGCGUAGAUAUCAGGAAGAACACCGAUGGCGAAGGCGGCUCACUGGCGCAGUACUGACCCUCAUGGACGAAAGCGUGGGUAGCGAACAGGAUUAGAUACCCUGGUAGUCCACGCCGUAAACGUUGUGCACUAGAUGUAGGGGGGCUGAUCCCUUCUGUGUCCAAGCUAACGCGAUAAGUGCACCGCCUGGGGACUACGGCCGCAAGGCUAAAACUCAAAGGAAUUGACGGGGGCCCGCACAAGCGGUGGAGCAUGUGGCUUAAUUCGAGGCAACGCGAAGAACCUUACCUGGGUUUGACAUGUACCGGACCGGUGUGGAAACACACCUUCCCUUCGGGGCCUGUACACAGAUGCUGCAUGGCUGUCGUCAGCUCGUGCCGUGAGGUGUUCGGUUAAGUCCGGCAACGAGCGCAACCCGCGUCGUCAGUUACCAUCACGUAAUGGUGGGGACUCUGGCGAGACUGCCCGUGUCAAGCGGGAGGAAGGCGCGGAUGACGUCAAGUCCGUAUGGCUCUUACGUCCAGGGCUGCACACGUGCUACAAUGGGCGGUACAAUGGGAAGCGAAACCGCGAGGUGGAGCAAAUCCUCAAAGCCGUCCCCAGUUCGGAUUGGAGUCUGCAACUCGACUCCAUGAAGUCGGAAUCGCUAGUAAAGGGGCAUCAGCAACGGCCCCUUGAAUACGUUCCCGGGCCUUGUACACACCGCCCGUCACAUCAUGGAAGCCGGCUGCACCCGAAGUCGCUGACCGAACCCUGCGUUUCGACAAAGGGACGGAGGUGCCGAAGGUGUGUCCGGUAACUGGGAUGAAGUCGUAACAAGGUA
This 1483-nucleotide ribosomal RNA is filed under the name metagenome. Its description in RNAcentral is "bacterial SSU rRNA". It matches the Rfam family "Bacterial small subunit ribosomal RNA". The record is from RNAcentral.